This 266-nucleotide ribosomal RNA is filed under the name uncultured bacterium. Its description in RNAcentral is "partial 16S ribosomal RNA". It matches the Rfam family "Bacterial small subunit ribosomal RNA", at positions 793 to 1055 of the family's 1533-position model. The record is from RNAcentral.
GUCCUAGCCGUAAACGAUGUGGAUUAGGUGUUGGAGGUGUCGAUCCCCCCAGCGCCGACGCUAACGCAUUAAAUCCACCACCUGGGGAGUACGGUCGCAAGACUGAAACUCAAAGAAAUUGACGGGGACCCCGCACAAGCGGUGGAGCAUGUGGUUUAAUUCGAGGCUACGCGAAGAACCUUACCCAGGCUUGACAUGUAGUUGCCAGUCCUUGAAAGAGGAUCUUCUCGCAAGAGACGAUUACACAGGUGCUGCAUGGCUGUCGU